UACGGGGGGGGCAAGCGUUGUUCGGAAUUACUGGGAGUAAAGGGCUCGUAGGCGGCCAACUAAGUCAGACGUGAAAUCCCCCGGCUUAACCGGGGAACUGCGUCUGAUACUGGAUGGCUUGAGGUUGGGAGAGGGAUGCGGAAUUCCAGGUGUAGCGGUGAAAUGCGUAGAUAUCUGGAGGAACACCGGUGGCGAAGGCGGCAUCCUGGACCAAUUCUGACGCUGAGGAGCGAAAGCCAGGGGAGCAAACGGG
This 253-nucleotide ribosomal RNA is filed under the name uncultured bacterium. Its description in RNAcentral is "partial 16S ribosomal RNA". It matches the Rfam family "Bacterial small subunit ribosomal RNA", at positions 524 to 776 of the family's 1533-position model. The record is from RNAcentral.